Molecule: long non-coding RNA, 290 nt
Organism: Cebus imitator (Panamanian white-faced capuchin)
Lineage: Eukaryota; Metazoa; Chordata; Mammalia; Primates; Cebidae
Exons: 3
Source: RefSeq, a predicted model, not a curated record
UAGUCAGUGAGUGCUCCAGUGACAGGGCAUGGAAAAGGCAGCAGUUGAAAUCAGAUUAGCAAAAUGUUGAGAAUUACUGAAGCUCACUGAUGGAUACAUGGAGAUGCAGAAUUCCUGCUCUGUGGAAAGAAAAGUAAUAGUAAGAAGAAAGACUAAGAAUCUCUGUGGUCUGGGGAUGGUAGGAAAACCUGAAGAGUGAUGUGCAGAUUAAUAGUGAGUGUCAACUUGAUUGGAUUGAAGGAUGCAAAGUAUUGUUCCUGGGUGUAUCUGUGAGGGUGUUGCCAAAGGGA